GCCCAGACUCCUACGGGAGGCAGCAGUGGGGGAUAUUGCACAAUGGGGGGAACCCUGAUGCAGCGACGCCGCGUGGGUGAAGAAGCGCCUCGGCGCGUAAAGCCCUGUCAGCAGGGAAGAAAAUGACGGUACCUGAAGAAGAAGCCCCGGCUAACUACGUGCCAGCAGCCGCGGUAAUACGUAGGGGGCAAGCGUUAUCCGGAUUUACUGGGUGUAAAGGGAGCGUAGACGGUAAUGCAAGUCUGGAGUGAAAGGCGGGGGCCCAACCCCCGGACUGCUCUGGAAACUGUGUAACUGGAGUGCAGGAGAGGCAGGCAGAAUUCCUAGUGUAGCGGUGAAA
Molecule: ribosomal RNA, 340 nt
Filed under: uncultured bacterium
Lineage: Bacteria
Description: bacterial SSU rRNA
Rfam family: Bacterial small subunit ribosomal RNA
Source: RNAcentral